This 312-nucleotide unclassified non-coding RNA is filed under the name uncultured fungus. Its description in RNAcentral is "partial contains 5.8S ribosomal RNA, internal transcribed spacer 2, and large subunit ribosomal RNA". Lineage: Eukaryota; Fungi. The record is from RNAcentral.
AACGCACCUUGCACUCCUUGGUAUUCCGAGGAGUAUGCCUGUUCGAGUGUCAUGAAACUCUCAAACCGUAUCUUUAUUGAUCAACGGGUUUGGAUUUGGACGUUGCUGGAUGCAUGUUCGGCUCGUCUCGAAUGUAUUAGCUGUAGAUUUCGAUUUCAGUUAAACCGUGUGAUAAUACAUCAAUGCGGGCAGCCGUCAAGGCGCUGAAUCGUCGUUCGAAGGCUUCUAAUCGUCCUUUACCGGACCACCUUUAACGGGUGCUUUCAUUUCACAUCUGGCCUCGAAUCAGGUAGGACUACCCGCUGAACUUAA